Suncus etruscus (white-toothed pygmy shrew) is the source of this 206-nucleotide small nucleolar RNA. RefSeq annotates it as small nucleolar RNA U3. The transcript has a single exon. NCBI's taxonomy places the organism in Eukaryota, Metazoa, Chordata, Mammalia, Eulipotyphla, Soricidae. The record is from RefSeq and is a predicted model, not a curated record.
AAGACUAUACUUUCAGGGAUCAUUUCUAUAGUAUGUUACUAGAAAAGUUUGUCUGAUUGUGUAGAGCACCCGAAGAGGAGUCAGAGCAUCCUCUCCUGAGCGUGAAGCCGGCUCUAGGUGUCGCUUCUGCGACUGCCUUUUGCCAUUGAUGAUCAUUCUUUCCUUCCUUUGGAAGGGGUAGAGGGAGAGAAUGCAGUCUGAGUGGU